RNAcentral lists this long non-coding RNA (1417 nucleotides) under Cricetulus griseus (Chinese hamster). RNAcentral's name for it is "lncRNA (ENSCGRG00015038336.1)". Lineage: Eukaryota; Metazoa; Chordata; Mammalia; Rodentia; Cricetidae. The record is from RNAcentral.
ACUGAGUUAAAAAUUGAAACAUCAAGCCAUGGGAAUGAAGAAAGGGAAGCCUGUGUUACCUAUCACUACUGUGCCAAAGUCCUUCCUUUUGUCCAGACAUUCCACUUUACAAAAGAGGGCGACGGGAACGAUGAGGUGUGGCUCGAGCUGAGGGAAAGUUUAUCUAUUCUCUCUGGGUAGAGGCAUGGGGAGAACUCCCAUUAUCCAAUUUGACAAACUCCUGACCUGCUUUAGCAGUUGAAAAUCAUCGUUCAUGGAUGCUUGGAUGACACAGGACACAGAAGCUCAGAGAAGUUAGUUGACUGCCUAGGCCACACAGCAAAUGAAUGGCAGAUUCAGCAUUUGAACCGAAGUCAUUGGCUCACCUCCAAAAAGAAGUUCAACUGAUGCCAUGAGCUGCAGUCAACCCAACAGAUAGCUCUCUCCGAAUCUUCUCCACAACUCUGCCAUAUUCCCACCUGUGUAUUUGGCUUCCUGCAGCAAAUACCACAACAAGCCAGGGCCUGUAGCCAGCAUGGUGAGUAAAGUCACAUUGAGCUGCAAUGGGUGGCUAGUGUCCCCUCGUCCAUGCCCCCAAGGUGGGCCCACACAGGGAAUGCCACUGCAGAAUAUUUUUGUACCCUAAUUCAUAGCUCACCCAAAAGCCUGGCUUCCCCACAUUCACAAACAUGGAAAUGAUGACCUGGAGAGGAUAAGCAGUCAAUCAAGUCACAAAGGAGGCAGAUGCCUCCUCUGAUGAAUAGGGUACAAAGUGGAGCCAGGAAAGCAGCAGGUGGGCCACCAUGGGGCCUGUGACAGGCAGGCUCAGCCAGAAAAAUGACAGAUGGAGAGAUGGAUUGAUCCAUGGAUUAUUAAAUCAUCAAGUUCUCGGCUUCUCUAACCUUCAUCGGGCCCUUGGAUCUCUGUCCAGGAACUCCAAACCCACCCCUACAAAGCAGGUAGAGCUGGACCUGGCAGCCCUCCACAGCCUUAGCCUUUGCCUCUGCCUCCGGGGGACUCUGGAUAGGAGACACAGGCACUCAGUUCUCACUCAGGGUGAGGCUGAAACCCAUAGGGUUCCUAUUUAAAGCCUGUCUCAUUCAUCAUUUCAGCACCAACCAACAAUUAACCCUGAUUCAGUCAAUGCCGACAACACAACCAGCCUUGCGCUGAUUAUUUAAAACUCUGUCCUGGCCUCUGGGGCCUUCAGAACCGGGACUGUUUGUCCUGCCAGGAACGAAGCCCCACCCUCCGGAUCCAGGAUCCCAAGGACAUAUGUAGGGUAUAGGGUCUGCUUAUGCAGCCCUGGCUGGAGCUCUCUCCACCUAGCUCACUGAGGGAGAUCUGAGAGGCUGGCUGGGAGGAACAGCUCUGAGAAGGCUCUGGGAGGACUCAGAGACGCCAGGAGAACAGGAAAAGGGACCUAGAGACAGAAGGA